AACGCUUCUUUUUCCACCGGAGCUUGCUCCACCGGAAAAAGAGGAGUGGCGAACGGGUGAGUAACACGUGGGUAACCUGCCCAUCAGAAGGGGAUAACACUUGGAAACAGGUGCUAAUACCGUAUAACAAUCGAAACCGCAUGGUUUUGAUUUGAAAGGCGCUUUCGGGUGUCGCUGAUGGAUGGACCCGCGGUGCAUUAGCUAGUUGGUGAGGUAACGGCUCACCAAGGCCACGAUGCAUAGCCGACCUGAGAGGGUGAUCGGCCACAUUGGGACUGAGACACGGCCCAAACUCCUACGGGAGGCAGCAGUAGGGAAUCUUCGGCAAUGGACGAAAGUCUGACCGAGCAACGCCGCGUGAGUGAAGAAGGUUUUCGGAUCGUAAAACUCUGUUGUUAGAGAAGAACAAGGAUGAGAGUAACUGUUCAUCCCUUGACGGUAUCUAACCAGAAAGCCACGGCUAACUACGUGCCAGCAGCCGCGGUAAUACGUAGGUGGCAAGCGUUGUCCGGAUUUAUUGGGCGUAAAGCGAGCGCAGGCGGUUUCUUAAGUCUGAUGUGAAAGCCCCCGGCUCAACCGGGGAGGGUCAUUGGAAACUGGGAGACUUGAGUGCAGAAGAGGAGAGUGGAAUUCCAUGUGUAGCGGUGAAAUGCGUAGAUAUAUGGAGGAACACCAGUGGCGAAGGCGGCUCUCUGGUCUGUAA
Molecule: ribosomal RNA, 703 nt
Filed under: uncultured Bacilli bacterium
Lineage: Bacteria; Bacillati; Bacillota; Bacilli
Description: bacterial SSU rRNA
Rfam family: Bacterial small subunit ribosomal RNA
Source: RNAcentral